GGUAAUUCCAGCUCCAAUAGCGUAUAUUAAAGUUGUUGCAGUUAAAAAGCUCGUAGUUGAAUUUCGGGGUCAGUAGGUUGGUCGUGCCACCGGUACGUACUGGUCUCACUGAUUCCUCCUUCCUGAUGAGCNGUAAUGCCAUUAAUUUGGUGUUGCNGGGAAUCUGGACUGUUACUUUGAAAAAAUUAGAGUGUUUAAAGCAGGCUAACGCUUGAAUACAUUAGCAUGGAAUAAUGAAAUAGGACGUUCGAUCCUAUUUUGUUGGUUUCUAGGAUUGACGUAAUGAUUAAUAGGGAUAGUUGGGGGCAUUAGUAUUCAAUUGUCAGAGGUGAAAUUCUUGGAUUUAUUGAAGACUAACUACUGCGAAAGCAUUUGCCAAGGAUGUUUUCAUUAAUCAAGAACGAAAGUUAGGGGAUCGAAGACGAUCAGAUACCGUCGUAGUCUUAACCAUAAACUAUGCCGACUAGGGAUCGGAUGAUGUUAAUUUUUUAAUGACUCA
Molecule: ribosomal RNA, 499 nt
Filed under: uncultured Glomus
Lineage: Eukaryota; Fungi; Glomeromycota; Glomeromycetes; Glomerales; Glomeraceae
Description: SSU rRNA
Rfam family: Eukaryotic small subunit ribosomal RNA
Source: RNAcentral